UGCCUUCGGGAACCGUGAGACAGGUGCUGCAUGGCUGUCGUCAGCUCGUGUUGUGAAAUGUUGGGUUAAGUCCCGCAACGAGCGCAACCCUUAUCCUUUGUUGCCAGCGGUCCGGCCGGGAACUCAAAGGAGACUGCCAGUGAUAAACUGGAGGAAGGUGGGGAUGACGUCAAGUCAUCAUGGCCCUUACGACCAGGGCUACACACGUGCUACAAUGGCGCAUACAAAGAGAAGCGACCUCGCGAGAGCAAGCGGACCUCAUAAAGUGCGUCGUAGUCCGGAUUGGAGUCUGCAACUCGACUCCAUGAAGUCGGAAUCGCUAGUAAUCGUGGAUCAGAAUGCCACGGUGAAUACGUUCCCGGGCCUUGUACACACCGCCCGUCACACCAUGGG
Molecule: ribosomal RNA, 393 nt
Filed under: Shigella flexneri
Lineage: Bacteria; Pseudomonadati; Pseudomonadota; Gammaproteobacteria; Enterobacterales; Enterobacteriaceae
Description: bacterial SSU rRNA
Rfam family: Bacterial small subunit ribosomal RNA
Source: RNAcentral